Molecule: ribosomal RNA, 292 nt
Filed under: uncultured bacterium
Lineage: Bacteria
Description: partial 16S ribosomal RNA
Rfam family: Bacterial small subunit ribosomal RNA
Source: RNAcentral
GUGCCAGCAGCCGCGGUAAUACGGGGGGGGCAAGCGUUGUUCGGAAUUACUGGGCGUAAAGGGUCUGUAGGUGGCUUGCUAAGUCAGACGUGAAAUCCCUCAGCUUAACUGGGGAACUGCGUCUGAGACUGGCGAGCUUGAGGGCAGGAGAGGAACGCGGAAUUCCAGGUGUAGCGGUGAAAUGCGUAGAUAUCUGGAGGAACACCGGUGGCGAAGGCGGCGUUCUGGACUGCAUCUGACACUGAGAGACGAAAGCCAGGGGAGCAAACGGGAUUAGAAACCCGUGUAGUCC